CCUCCAUCAUCAUCUCUCUCUCUCUCUCUCUCUCUCUCUCUCUCUCUCUCUCAUGUUCUUUGAAUCAUACCCGUAUACAAAUAUAUGAAUAUUCAUCGCCGACGUUGGCCACGACUACUAUUGCCGGUCGUUCACUCACUCUUCUCUCUGCAACUCUCUCUCUCUCUCUCUGAUUAGCCAAAAAAAAGAGAGAAUGUCGGGGGGACGAUUUGGCAUUCUCUCUCUUUCUCUCAUCCUCAGAAGUCUCUUAUUUGGUUCGACCAAUCGAUUUACCCAAUCUAUUUUUGGUUUUGGUAAUUUAUUUUUGGCGAAAAUUGAAGACCCAAGUAUUAAUCCAGCCAACAAUUCGGCUUCCCACUUCGUAACUCUCUCUCUCUCUCUCUCUCUCUCUCUCUCCAUAUAUAUACACAUGUAUAUGCAUGUAUACAGAUAUAUGUUUGGUCAUAUUUUUAAAAAAUCAAACCAAUACACAUCUUUAGAUUUGAUUUCCGAUUAGGGUUCUGCAACAAUUUCCCAUGGCAUUCAAAUGGCUGUCUAUGGGUGUGUUUCUAUGGUUUGAUUUUGGGGCAUUCGACUGGGUUUGUUUUUUGUUUUAUUAGGUGGAAAAGAGAUUAUAUUCAACUGGGUUUGUUGAUGGAUGUUUAUUUGUUUUCAUGACAUCCAAUUAAAGUUUUAUCCUUGUGCUGUGUAUGGUUGCGUUCGUGUUUUUUUGUUCCCAUUACCUCUGUGUAUAUAUAUGUAUAUAUGUGAGAAAUCGAGAAAGGGGUGAGAAACACAGGAACAAAGGAAAAAAGAGAUGGGGAAGAAGAAAGAGGCCAAAAAAGGGCACUAUCGUCAUAUUUCAUUUUCUGUCAAAUCGGAUGGAAAAAAUGACCGUGCACUUUGCCCAUCGGCCACGUUAAUCGAUGUUUGAUGAUAGUGAUUAUCUCAAAAUGAUGCAGAAUCUUGUGUCGAGGGAUAGAAAAACCAAGUCCUAGAUGGUAAGGAAUUACUUGAACUUACCAUAGUAUGAAUGCUUAUGCGUGGGCCAUGCUAGGAAUGCUGAGGUUCUAUGUUCUAUUUUAUCUUUUUGGUAUUUCUCUUUCUAAAUUGUAUUGUUUCCCUCUGGGAUAUUCUAAACUAUCAUCUGAGUACCAAUUGCCUUUUGGGUUACUUGAAGCAAGUUUCUGUUUCUUGAAACCAUGUUAGGUGUUACAACUGGGAAAUACUCGUACUGUCCCUCGAUCAUCUUCGUGUGUAGUAUGUUUGUUUCACUUGUUUUUUUCCCCCUUUAGCAUCCUAGUAUUCAUGCAAAGAUUAAUCAAUCAGAUCGCUAGCAGCACCGCAGUCUUGUUUGAUCGUGAAAGUAUGAAGAUUCAGCAACAUUUUUAGAGCUGGUAAAUACAGGUAAGUAGUGAUGUACAUAUAACCGUGCAUAAACAUGCAAGAAUAUGUCACAUAAUAACAGAAGCCAGAGCAGAGUAUCACAGGUUUUAAGAUGUGCUAUACAGUUGAAAUUGACUUUAGAAGUGGAACUUCGAAAGGAUCUAGGUUUGUUGGAUAUUGAGAGAAAAUCAUGCCCUUGACAAAGCUCAACGGAGAAAACGGAUUGAUGCAGCCAAACCCAAUUAAUUGGGACUUAAGGCUCGAUUUGGUUUGUAAAUUGACAAAAUCAGACUUCAGCCAACUCAAAUUGACACAUUAUCAAUCCGGAAUAUAGUUCUUCAUCUUCCUAAAUCAAUUUUAUUUCGUUACUUAUAAACUUGAUGUGGUUUGUGUGAAUUUGCAAGAGGAACAAAAACAUAUACUCUACUAUUCUCACUUCCUAUUGUGUGUAAAGGGAGACUUUCAUGUUGAAUGUAUAUGAUGGCAAGAAAGUCAAAAAUUGCCACCCACCACGCAAAUCAGUCAUCUAUAAUUACAGCAUUCAUUGCAACGACUUGUGAAUCACAAAGACAAAGAAAAGGCAACACAAGAAGAUCUAGCAUACCAUGACUGUGAGAAUGCCGUCUUUAUGUCAAGCUAAUGGUUGUCUUUUAGAGUAUUGGUUCCGUUUGUUUCGGCAAAAAAUGUUUUGUAUUUUCUGGUAAUUGAUCUGUUGAAAAAUGAAAGUGAACAAACAAUGUUUUGCUCGGUUGACAGAAAAUCAACCAGCAGGUAAAUUUUUACCCUACCUUUGAUUUAAGGAACCUUUGGAUUUUUAUUUCAUGUUACGCAUGAAUCUGGUACUUCUGUACUCUCCUUGCCAGAUCGGAGAAGGGAGCUUGAGAAGCAUGGGGUGAAGAAGGUGAUAGUACUGUUGCUAUUAUCAUCAGUUCAAGAAAUUAAUUGCCUUCCACAUAGACUUGUAAGCUAAAAGGGCUUUGCACAUCUCAUCAAACGAAGACACUUGCUUAGGAAAACGGGAAGAAGUUGAAAGCUAAAAGAAAAAGAACUAAUGUUCCAAAAUUCAAGCUUCCAGGACCUACAAAUAUGUUAAGAGUCAAGGAGAAGGCUGUGGUGACGGGUGUGCUCUCCAAAUAUGCAGCUCAAGCUGCUUCAGCUUCAAAGGGAAAACCUUAGUGUAGUUUGGUGUCGUUGGAGAUUGCUAUCUAUGAUUACUACCAUUAGCAAACUCACUUUGUAUACCAAAUAUAUGGCCCUGGUGGAUGAAUUGUCAAUUGCAUUUUCUGUUUUCUC
Long non-coding RNA from Rhododendron vialii, 2658 nucleotides. RefSeq lists it as uncharacterized. NCBI's taxonomy places the organism in Eukaryota, Viridiplantae, Streptophyta, Magnoliopsida, Ericales, Ericaceae. The record is from RefSeq and is a predicted model, not a curated record. The transcript has 2 exons.